This 253-nucleotide ribosomal RNA is filed under the name uncultured bacterium. RNAcentral's name for it is "partial 16S ribosomal RNA". It matches the Rfam family "Bacterial small subunit ribosomal RNA", at positions 524 to 776 of the family's 1533-position model. The record is from RNAcentral.
UACGUAGGGUGCGAGCGUUAAUCGGAAUUACUGGGCGUAAAGCGUGCGCAGGCGGUUCGUUGUGUCUGAUGUGAAAGCCCCGGGCUUAACCUGGGAAUGGCAUUGGAAACUGGCGAGCUGGAGUGUGGCAGAGGGGGGUGGAAUUCCGCGUGUAGCAGUGAAAUGCGUAGAGAUGCGGAGGAACACCGAUGGCGAAGGCAGCCCCCUAGGCCAACACUGACGCUCAGGCACGAAAGCGUGGGGAGCAAACAGG